Molecule: ribosomal RNA, 164 nt
Filed under: Ornithocephalus inflexus
Lineage: Eukaryota; Viridiplantae; Streptophyta; Magnoliopsida; Asparagales; Orchidaceae
Also listed under: 2 other names
Description: 5.8S ribosomal RNA
Rfam family: 5.8S ribosomal RNA
About the family: 5.8S ribosomal RNA (5.8S rRNA) is a component of the large subunit of the eukaryotic ribosome. It is transcribed by RNA polymerase I as part of the 45S precursor that also contains 18S and 28S rRNA. Functionally, it is thought that 5.8S rRNA may be involved in ribosome translocation.
Source: RNAcentral
GACACGACUCUCGGCAAUGGAUAUCUCGGCUCUUGCAUCGAUGAAGAGCGCAGCGAAAUGCGAUACGUGGUGCGAAUUGCAGAAUCCCGUGAACCAUCGAGUCUUUGAACGCAAGUUGCGCCCGAGGCCAUUCGGCCAAGGGCACGUUCGCCUGGGCGUCAAGC